RNAcentral lists this ribosomal RNA (505 nucleotides) under uncultured bacterium. RNAcentral describes it as "partial 16S ribosomal RNA". It matches the Rfam family "Bacterial small subunit ribosomal RNA", at positions 28 to 507 of the family's 1533-position model. The record is from RNAcentral.
GACGAACGCUGGCGGCGUGCCUAAUACAUGCCAGUCGAACGCACAGUUUAUACGGUAGCUUGCUACACCAUAGACUGUGAGUUGCGAACGGCUGAGUAACGCGUAGGUAACCUGCCUGGUAGCGGGUGAUAACUAUUGGAAACGAUAGCUAAUACCUCUUAAUAUUCAUUAUUGCAUGGUAAUUGACUGAAAUACUCUCUUGCAUCACUACCAGCUGGACCUGCGUUGUAUUAGCUAGUAGGUGAGGUAACGGCUCCACUAAGCGACGAUAGAUAGCCGACCUGAGAGGGGGGUCGGCCACACUGGGACUGAGAACAGGCUCAGGCUUCUACGGGAGGGAGCAGGAGGGAAACUUCCGGAAUUGACGAAAGGCUUACCGGGGAACGCCGCGGGAGUGAAGAAGGGUUUCGGAUCGUAAAGCCCUGUUGUAAGGGAAGAACGAGUGUUGGAGUUGAAAGUUCACACUGUGACGGUAUCUUAUCAGAAAGCGACGGCUAACUACGUG